AGAGUUUGAUCAUGGCUCAGAUUGAACGCUGGCGGCAGGCCUAACACAUGCAAGUCGAGCGGUAGCACAGAGAGCUUGCUCUCGGGUGACGAGCGGCGGACGGGUGAGUAAUGUCUGGGAAACUGCCUGAUGGAGGGGGAUAACUACUGGAAACGGUAGCUAAUACCGCAUAAUGUCGCAAGACCAAAGUGGGGGACCUUCGGGCCUCAUGCCAUCAGAUGUGCCCAGAUGGGAUUAGCUGGUAGGUGGGGUAACGGCUCACCUAGGCGACGAUCCCUAGCUGGUCUGAGAGGAUGACCAGCCACACUGGAACUGAGACACGGUCCAGACUCCUACGGGAGGCAGCAGUGGGGAAUAUUGCACAAUGGGCGCAAGCCUGAUGCAGCCAUGCCGCGUGUGUGAAGAAGGCCUUCGGGUUGUAAAGCACUUUCAGCGGGGAGGAAGGCGGUGAGGUUAAUAACCUCAUCGAUUGACGUUACCCGCAGAAGAAGCACCGGCUAACUCCGUGCCAGCAGCCGCGGUAAUACGGAGGGUGCAAGCGUUAAUCGGAAUUACUGGGCGUAAAGCGCACGCAGGCGGUCUGUCAAGUCGGAUGUGAAAUCCCCGGGCUCAACCUGGGAACUGCAUUCGAAACUGGCAGGCUAGAGUCUUGUAGAGGGGGGUAGAAUUCCAGGUGUAGCGGUGAAAUGCGUAGAGAUCUGGAGGAAUACCGGUGGCGAAGGCGGCCCCCUGGACAAAGACUGACGCUCAGGUGCGAAAGCGUGGGGAGCAAACAGGAUUAGAUACCCUGGUAGUCCACGCUGUAAACGAUGUCGAUUUGGAGGUUGUGCCCUUGAGGCGUGGCUUCCGGAGCUAACGCGUUAAAUCGACCGCCUGGGGAGUACGGCCGCAAGGUUAAAACUCAAAUGAAUUGACGGGGGCCCGCACAAGCGGUGGAGCAUGUGGUUUAAUUCGAUGCAACGCGAAGAACCUUACCUGGUCUUGACAUCCACAGAACUUUCCAGAGAUGGAUUGGUGCCUUCGGGAACUGUGAGACAGGUGCUGCAUGGCUGUCGUCAGCUCGUGUUGUGAAAUGUUGGGUUAAGUCCCGCAACGAGCGCAACCCUUAUCCUUUGUUGCCAGCGGUCCGGCCGGGAACUCAAAGGAGACUGCCAGUGAUAAACUGGAGGAAGGUGGGGAUGACGUCAAGUCAUCAUGGCCCUUACGACCAGGGCUACACACGUGCUACAAUGGCAUAUACAAAGAGAAGCGACCUCGCGAGAGCAAGCGGACCUCAUAAAGUAUGUCGUAGUCCGGAUUGGAGUCUGCAACUCGACUCCAUGAAGUCGGAAUCGCUAGUAAUCGUAGAUCAGAAUGCUACGGUGAAUACGUUCCCGGGCCUUGUACACACCGCCCGUCACACCAUGGGAGUGGGUUGCAAAAGAAGUAGGUAGCUUAACCUUCGGGAGGGCGCUUACCACUUUGUGAUUCAUGACUGGGGUGAAGUCGUAACAAGGUAACCGUAGGGGAACCUGCGGUUGGAUCACCU
Molecule: ribosomal RNA, 1528 nt
Filed under: Klebsiella pneumoniae
Lineage: Bacteria; Pseudomonadati; Pseudomonadota; Gammaproteobacteria; Enterobacterales; Enterobacteriaceae
Also listed under: 1 other name
Description: bacterial SSU rRNA
Rfam family: Bacterial small subunit ribosomal RNA
Source: RNAcentral